Long non-coding RNA from Cyprinus carpio carpio, 1146 nucleotides. Lineage: Eukaryota; Metazoa; Chordata; Actinopteri; Cypriniformes; Cyprinidae. The record is from Ensembl.
CACACACACACACACACACACACACACACACACACACACACACACACACACACACACACACACACACACACACACAUAUAUAUAUAUAUAUAUGUCAUUUACAUCUCAGAUGGCCCGAGGGUGAGUAAACUGUCAGCAAAUGUUCAUUUUAGGAUUUAAGAAUUUUUUAGAUGUUGUACAAAACAAGACAAAUGUAAAGGACAGUAGGAAAAUCAUUUCUUGCAUCUAUAAAAGUUGUUCAUUCAGUCUUGCCUGUCUUCCCUCUGAGCACCUCAGCUAUACAAAGGAAAAGAAUUCAGAAUGAUAUUAUCAACUUUUUACAAAUAAUGUACUUAAAAUAUAUAGAUAUACUAUAUAUGCACUGUUCAAAUGUCUGAGUCAAGCAACACACUUGGUGGCAUAUGUGAUCUAGGUGGGCUUAAGAUGGCUGUCAUAUUAGAGAGGGUGGGCAGGUGGAUAUGAGCAGUCCUGUGCUUGCACUAUAGUCAAUGUUUCAAAGCUUCAGGUAGUUUUCACUCCCCUUUUCACACACACAUAUCUUGGCUCUGUGAGACUGUUUCACACUCUGCCUCUGCAUUCAAAGACAGACAGACUCACACUCAUUACAAUAACACCAUUUCUCAAUUUCCUCUCCCACUUGUUCCCGCUUAUAUAACAUGACUGACACAUUGUUGCUUUGUGUUGCCACCUCUUCCCAGUCUGAAUGCUUUUUUUUUUCAAUGCAUCAAUCAGAUCCCUUGCUGAAAUUCUAAACUUUUCAUUAGUUUCGAUAGCUGCUCGUCUCUGAUUGCAAUGUCAAGUUCCUGCUUCACCGCUCAUAACUGGAUAAAGGGUCUUCUCAUUUUCUCACUCCAUCUAAAUAAAUCUGAGAAUGAUUUUUCUUCCCAAGAAUCUUCACAAUGCCAGCAUGUCUUCAAAGACUCUUCCCAAAACCUAGUGAGCUGCCUUGCUGUCUACGUCCUAUAUAGGAAGCAUCCUAGCCAAAAUUCAAAUCAUUUGGAGUGCUCUAUGUAGUCAGUGAACAGGAGAAUCAACUCGCACCUGAUUUUAAUAGUUGGGCAUUAGCCUGCUGCUAUGCUACUGUUUUUAUCAGUAAUGAAUUUUAAAAAGCAAUAUUUUCUUGCUUUGUCCACCAGAUAUAUAUAU